UUGUAAACCAUUAGCUCACAUACCCUCUAAAUCUUUCCCAAGCCUCACAAAAUGAUUCAUGGUUCUUCUGAAUGAAACUUGAGAUUUCAUUUCUUAACCU
This 100-nucleotide small nucleolar RNA is filed under the name Eutrema salsugineum. Its description in RNAcentral is "Plant small nucleolar RNA R71". The stretch from base 9 to 93 matches the Rfam family "Plant small nucleolar RNA R71", at positions 16 to 100 of the family's 107-position model. From Rfam's summary of the family: R71 is a member of the C/D box family of snoRNAs containing the C (UGAUGA) and D (CUGA) box motifs. The record is from Rfam by way of RNAcentral. Lineage: Eukaryota; Viridiplantae; Streptophyta; Magnoliopsida; Brassicales; Brassicaceae.